UUCGGCAUCGCGCACGCGGUCGUCGGGCAGCCACACCUCGACGCGGUAGCUGCGGCCAAAGUCGUGCACGAGCGGCAGGAGCAUGUGUGUGCACGCUGUCGGUGCAGCGCCGCCGCCGCCAUCCGACUCCGUGGCGACGAGCGCCACGAGCACAUUGCCAAAGUGGAGAUCGUUGUGCACCACCGAGAGAUGCUGCUGGAGGACGCUCACGGCCAUCAGUACGCCGCGCACAAUACCAAACCAUUGGUCGGCCGUGAGGUCGGUGCGUGCGGCCAGGCUCGCCAGGUCGCCCCAGGCCAUUUCGCUCACCAAGAGGUAGGCCGCCAGCGGGCGGCCAGGAUCGAGCGACUCGAUCGUUAGGCCAUACGCCUCUAGGGCGUCGGCGAUGGCCGUCAGGUCCGCCGUUGUGCGCACAAUCGCCCGCACCUGGCGCCGACGCGCUGGCGGCGCGGCGUCGAUCACCUGCUGGCGGAGGUCGUAAUCGCGCGCGGCCGCACCCAGGAGGCUGCCGGGCGCGUAGGUGACGGCGUCGCAGUAGGUAGUGCCGUAAACCAACGGAAAGUGGGGACUCGCGCCCUGGCGCACGAGAUCGGACGCCGCCUGCGCGAUCGUCAUCUCGCUAUUGUUUCGUGCCGCGCUGUCGUCGCUCACCACGGCCAGCACCUUGACGGCCAUGCGCGUAGCGUCGGGCGCUCGCAGGGCCGCCGAAAAGACCACAUCCGCACUCGGUCCCGUGUUUGACCCAAGACGCCCGUACUGCCCGGGACGUCGCGACGCAAUUAUGGUCUCGUAGACCUCGGCGUCGGCGCUGGGCGACCCGAUGCGGCGGCUGAGCACCAAGAGGCGCGUACACGCACCUCCCUGUCCGCCAUUUGCGCGUGGGCAGAUGCAUGAACGCAGUGCGCCUUGUAGGGCCUCGGUGGCGCGCUCAUAUGCGCCGACGCGCUGGUGGAGGGCCGGCCAUGUGUGUCUGGCGUCGGCAUCCCACCGCGCGCAGGCGGCCUCGACAUAGGUGGGCGGCGCGGCGGCAUCGAGCGAGGACACCCCACGCUCCAUGGACGGCGUCAGUGUCGUUGCUAUUGUUGCGGAGGCGACUGCGACAGUCCCCUCCCGGAGGGUCAAAGGCAGAGACGUUCGGGGUGCGGCAAUUGCAGUUGUGCGGGCGGCGCCGGGCGCGUGUUGUCGUCGUCUUUAACUCUAUCGCGCGUCUCUUCUGGGAUCUCUAAGGGGAGGGGGGUGGGCGGUGCGUCGCCGCGCACGGCGCGGCGCUGGGAGAGCCUUGUAGGCCGACUCGGCGGCGGUAGGUUGGCCGCGCCAGGUGCCAAUCCAACACACCGCGCGCGAUGGUCGCGGCACGACCGACACAAAAAAGUUUUGCGACAGGAAAAGCGUGGCUAAAAGAGACGAAAUAGCGGAAAGAGAAAGAGUGGUCCGGCCUCCUCAUUCCCGGCAUCUUCUUUUUUUACCGCGCCCGCGCUUUCUCAAGACCUUGCGUCGUAUAACAGUGACGAGACAACGAAAAAUACACCCGCAAAACCAGGACUCGUAUUGCGGCGCAAGAGAAAGAUGGACCCGACACGCAUGUCCGUUUUUUCCCUUGUCUGCUGCGCCAAAAAUGUCGAGUCACUCUCUGAGCGCACACACGACGGGCGAAAAAAGGAAUAGGGCAAAGGAAAAAACUUGACGGUUUGGGUCUGGGAAUAGAGCGGCGUCGGUUGCGCGCACGUGCGGGCGAUGCACGUAACAUUCUUCCCUCCCUCCGUUUUCGUCCCAUCUUUGGUUUGUCCCUGGUGUCGCGCAUGGCAAACAACAGAGAACAAGCGAGGGGGCGGGAAGAAAAAGAAGGCGUGCGCUGUCCCUUUUUCACACAGCCAUUUGUUUGGUUUUUCUGAUUGUUUUUUUGUCCUUGUGUUUUUUUUACAUAUCGCUCUCGGUCUCGUCGUCGCUCGCAUAGGCCGCACGGGCGCCGAGAUUGCACGACCCGCGAAAUGGCCGGUCGCGCAACCACGCCGCGAGUUGAACGUCGCCAAAGCGCAUCACGGCAACGAGCGCGUCGGGAUAGUCGCCGUGAAAGAGCGGACCGACGGCGACGGCCGGCAUGUCAAACAUGCCCGCGCGCAUGAGAGGCGGCAGCGGCGGCAGCGGACGCGUCGCAGGCAGGGCGC
This 2165-nucleotide long non-coding RNA is filed under the name Pandoravirus neocaledonia. RNAcentral's name for it is "hypothetical ncRNA". The record is from RNAcentral.